Molecule: non-coding RNA, 117 nt
Organism: Echinococcus granulosus
Lineage: Eukaryota; Metazoa; Platyhelminthes; Cestoda; Cyclophyllidea; Taeniidae
Source: Rfam
GUGCAUUAGAAAAGGAGAGACGUUUGGCAGCCCCCUGCACAAGGUCGGACUCAAAUCUCCUUGAGGCGUAAAGUCCACAAAGUGGCGCCUUUUUCCCAAGCACUCGCACAGUGUUGU